GACGAACGCUGGCGGCGUGCCUAAUACAUGCAAGUAGAACGCUGAAGGAGGAGCUUGCUCUUCUGGAUGAGUUGCGAACGGGUGAGUAACGCGUAGGUAACCUGCCUGGUAGCGGGGGAUAACUAUUGGAAACGAUAGCUAAUACCGCAUAACAGUAGAUGUUGCAUGACAUUUGCUUAAAAGGUGCAAUUGCACCACUACCAGAUGGACCUGCGUUGUAUUAGCUAGUUGGUGGGGUAACGGCUCACCAAGGCGACGAUACAUAGCCGACCUGAGAGGGUGAUCGGCCACACUGGGACUGAGACACGGCCCAGACUCCUACGGGAGGCAGCAGUAGGGAAUCUUCGGCAAUGGACGGAAGUCUGACCGAGCAACGCCGCGGGAGUGAAGAAGGUUUUCGGAUCGUAAAGCUCUGUUGUAAGAGAAGAACGAGUGUGAGAGUGGAAAGUUCACACUGUGACGGUAUCUUACCAGAAAGGGACGGCUAACUACGUG
RNAcentral lists this ribosomal RNA (495 nucleotides) under uncultured bacterium. Its description in RNAcentral is "partial 16S ribosomal RNA". It matches the Rfam family "Bacterial small subunit ribosomal RNA", at positions 28 to 507 of the family's 1533-position model. The record is from RNAcentral.